Molecule: ribosomal RNA, 274 nt
Filed under: uncultured bacterium
Lineage: Bacteria
Description: partial 16S ribosomal RNA
Rfam family: Archaeal small subunit ribosomal RNA
Source: RNAcentral
AAACCAGCACCUCAAGUGGUCAGGAGGAUUAUUGGGCCUAAAGCAUCCGUAGCCUGUUCUAUAAGUUUCCGGUUAAAUCCACUAGCUCAACUAGUGGGCUGCCGAAAAUACUGUAGAACUAGGGAGUGGGAGAGGUAGACGGUAUUCGGUAGGAAGGGGUAAAAUCCUUUGAUCUAUUGAGGACCACCUGUGGCGAAGGCGGUCUACCAGAACACGUUCGACGGUGAGGGAUGAAAGCUGGCGGAGCAAACCGGAUUAGAAACCCCGGUAGUCC